RNAcentral lists this ribosomal RNA (498 nucleotides) under uncultured bacterium. RNAcentral's name for it is "partial 16S ribosomal RNA". It matches the Rfam family "Bacterial small subunit ribosomal RNA", at positions 30 to 523 of the family's 1533-position model. The record is from RNAcentral.
AUUGAACGCUGGCGGCAUGCCUUACACACGCAAGUCGAGCGGUAACAGGUCUUCGGAUGCUGACGAGUGGCGAACGGGUGAGUAAUACAUCGGAACGUGCCUAGUAGUGGGGGAUAACUACUCGAAAGAGUGGCUAAUACCGCAUGAGAUCUACGGAUGAAAGCAGGGGAUCGCAAGACCUUGUGCUACUAGAGCGGCCGAUGGCAGAUUAGGUAGUUGGUGGGAUAAAAGCUUACCAAGCCGACGAUCUGUAGCUGGUCUGAGAGGACGAUCAGCCACACUGGGAAUGAGACACGGCCCAGACGCCUACGGGAGGCAGCAGUGGGGAAUUUUGGACAAUGGGCGAAAGCCUGAUCCAGCAAUGCCGCGUGCAGGAUGAAGGCCUUCGGGUUGUAAACUGCUUUUGUACGGAACGAAAAGCCCCGGGUUAAUACCCUGGGGUCAUGACGGUACCGUAAGAAUAAGCACCGGCUAACUACGUGCCAGCAGCCGCGGUAA